UAUGUAUUGCAUACCGCACAUAUUUGGUUUAUAAAUACGGUUAUUCGUUACCAAAACUUGGCGAGUCUUAAAAUUAGA
Molecule: non-coding RNA, 78 nt
Organism: Tenericutes bacterium 4572_104
Lineage: Bacteria; Bacillati; Mycoplasmatota
Source: Rfam